Molecule: long non-coding RNA, 2238 nt
Filed under: Pelobates cultripes (western spadefoot toad)
Lineage: Eukaryota; Metazoa; Chordata; Amphibia; Anura; Pelobatidae
Source: RNAcentral
GGAGGAGUGAAGGGGGGGGACUUGGCAGAUUUUUUGUGCUGCCACAGUCUUACAGUACGUAAACCUUCUGUGUGUGCAGCAUUGCACCCACUCACUAAUGUGUUCUUCUGGAGCAGUGGCACAAUGGCUUCAGGAAAAUAUCACCAGCCUGGCACAUAUAAUGGAUGUAAAGCCAAUCAGCUAGUGUCACAGGAAUACACUCAGGAACUGCAUGUUAAAAUGUGUAAGAAGAUCGCACAACUCACCAAGGUAAGAAAAGAUAAUGUUUAAUGUGUCUGUGUAUCUGGCAUGAUUCAGUUUGCAGGUCGUACGAGCUGUGAAUCUGUUUUAUCUUCUAAUCCCUAUGCAAACCCUAGGAAUCCUUGAACAAUCUAUCGUUUAAUGCUGUUUGAAAGACGAUUGAAUAAUAUUCACUAUACUCGUUUUUGUUUGCAUUUCGUUAACGAUUUUACAGUUGAAAACAUAAUAUCCUGCUCAAAUUUUAUAUACAUCAUGUCUUGCUUUAUUAUCUUUUGUAAAUCAGUAAUUUUGUGUUUUCAGAUCCGAGAAUUAGUUAGCUGUUUUAGCAACAAAGGUUUCAUUUAUGUGAUGGUGCAGUGAGAAUGGUACUUUGUAUGGCAUGUUUAAAGUGCUUUUUCUUUCCAAUGUGUCUUUCUUUUCUCCUGAGCUCCUUCAAUCAUAACAUCCUUCCUUCCGUCUCAUGUGUCACCUUGUUUUUUAAUUACUUAUCACUGUAUCAUCUUUCUUAUUUCGGCUUAUCCUAUAUAAUUUUACCUCUUCCACAUAUCAUAUCUAAUAUUGUCACAUAUUUUCACCUCUUCCUUCCUCUCUCAGAUAAUGUUAUCUCCCCAUAACACUAUCUCCCACACUGUGAGAAAUUCCUAUGCUGAUCAAAUCAGCAUCUCCUCUUUAUUUUAUUUCAUUUUGUUGUCCCUUCACGUCUAUAGCGCAACUACUUUUAGCUGAAAUAAUAUAUUGCACUGUAGAGAGCCUGAAAGGAAUUCUUUUUGAUAACUUGUAGCUGUCCUCUGUUUUGAAGAUGAGGAAAGCCAUGCAAUGUCUGGCACUCUACGAUAACUAUGCACUUGUUAUGGUUAGUCACUGUAAAUCAGGAGUGGUUAAAUCAGAUUGUGUAGGAUUAACUGAAAUAAAAUGCUCUAGAUUACUUCCAACAGUUCAUUUUGCGUUAUAAUACAUUUCUGACCUCUGUUUGUUCACUGGACUAGUUAUUUAGAACUCUGACCAUAAACUUUUGCCUCCAGCCCCUGACUCUGUAUCGUAAUGACCUUGUUUUGCUUUUAUUCUUUGACACAACAGUCUUGGCCACCUUACUGUGACCAUUUGGGCCUGUAUUGACUGUAUUGACUAUGUAUGUUGUUCAACUAUCUUGACCUCAUAACAUUAUUCAAGUUACCCAGCUCCCAACUGAUAUUACAUGCCUUAAAAUGUACUUUAUGUGUGAGGCCUGAACAGUAUAGUAAACAUGUUAGAGUGAUGGAGAUCAGGACCCUAAUGCAUAUUUAAUGUUACCUACUAGGGACAUUGUUAGGGUAAAAAAAAACAAAAAUAAUUUAGUAACCCCUUCCCAAAGCCCUACCCUGCCAAUCCCCAACUCCACCCAUUAUCAAAUCUCUUCACACACUCACAGUUAUUCUACACCCACACACAGAUACACAGAUAUACACAAGCACACACACAGGAACUGACUCAUACACAGGAGCAGAUCGGCACAAAGACAGACCAACUAUUUUAGUUUGAAUUGACAUUCUCUAAGCUUUUGUCCAUUCUUUGAGUUAUCAUAUUCUUUGGUGGGGGGGAGGAUAGGGGGGAGAUUCUGCUUCAAUGCAUAUGUUCAGGGUCUAGAGGGAUUUCAGCUACACCUCGCUGACAUGACCCGAAGAAGGCCGAAACGAUCAUCUGGGAUUGCUGUAUCUCUCGUGCAGAAGGAACUUGCUGGCAAUUCAAUUCUGUACUGCCCUUAGGGGUGGGAUCAGCCUGAUAUGCAAAUGGUAUAGGUUCACUCAAUAUUGGCACAAGUGAGCAAAAACUAGUUACAAACCUGAGUGGGGACUUCCCAGAGAGCAAGCUACUGGAUUUCUCUAAAUUAUCAUAAUCUCUGUUUUUGAUAUUGAUUUGCCACUUUCUUGGGUCCUGCUGGUGCUCUACCUGCAUCUGAUCUUUUGCUAGGUGGCUCCUGACUCUACAGGCUGGUGCUGGCUAGACCCUGGUCUAGGUAGG